UAGUGGCGAACGGGUGAGUAACACGUGGGCAAUCUGCCCUUCACUCUGGGACAAGCCCUGGAAACGGGGUCUAAUACCGGAUAUGAGCCUGNUANGCAUNUCCCGGGNUGNAAAGCUCCGGCGGUGAAGGAUGANCCCGCGGCCUAUCAGCUUGUUGGUGAGGUAAUGGCUUACCAAGGCGACGACGGGUAGCCGGCCUGAGAGGGCGACCGGCCACACUGGGACUGAGACACGGCCCAGACUCCUACGGGAGGCAGCAGUGGGGAAUAUUGCACAAUGGGCGAAAGCCUGAUGCAGCGACGCCGCGUGAGGGAUGACGGCCUUCGGGUUGUAAACCUCUUUCAGCAGGGAAGAAGCGAAAGUGACGGUACCUGCAGAAGAAGCGCCGGCUAACUACGUGCCAGCAGCCGCGGUAAUACGUAGGGCGCAAGCGUUGUCCGGAAUUAUUGGGCGUAAAGAGCUCGUAGGCGGCUUGUCACGUCGAUUGUGAAAGCCCGAGGCUUAACCUCGGGUCUGCAGUCGAUACGGGCUAGCUAGAGUGUGGUAGGGGGAGAUCGGAAUUCCU
This 565-nucleotide ribosomal RNA is filed under the name Streptomyces sp. 431E03. Its description in RNAcentral is "bacterial SSU rRNA". It matches the Rfam family "Bacterial small subunit ribosomal RNA", at positions 93 to 671 of the family's 1533-position model. Lineage: Bacteria; Bacillati; Actinomycetota; Actinomycetes; Kitasatosporales; Streptomycetaceae. The record is from RNAcentral.